CCUACGGGAGGCUGCAGUGGGGAAUAUUGCACAAUGGGCGCAAGCCUGAUGCAGCCAUGCCGCGUGUGUGAAGAAGGCCUUCGGGUCGUAAAGCACUUUCAGCGGGGAGGAAGGCGGUGAGGUUAAUAACCUCAUCGAUUGACGUUACCCGCAGAAGAAGCACCGGCUAACUCCGUGCCAGCAGCCGCGGUAAUACGGAGGGUGCAAGCGUUAAUCGGAAUUACUGGGCGUAAAGCGCACGCAGGCGGUCUGUCAAGUCGGAUGUGAAAUCCCCGGGCUCAACCUGGGAACUGCAUUCGAAACUGGCAGGCUAAAGUCUUGUAGAGGGGGGUAGAAUUCCAGGUGUAGCGGUGAAAUGCGUAGAGAUCUGGAGGAAUACCGGUGGCGAAGGCGGCCCCCUGGACAAAGACUGACGCUCAGGUGCGAAAGCGUGGGGAGCAAACAGGAUUAGAUACCCGGGUAGUC
Molecule: ribosomal RNA, 465 nt
Filed under: uncultured Klebsiella sp.
Lineage: Bacteria; Pseudomonadati; Pseudomonadota; Gammaproteobacteria; Enterobacterales; Enterobacteriaceae
Description: bacterial SSU rRNA
Rfam family: Bacterial small subunit ribosomal RNA
Source: RNAcentral